ACCCUGACCCAGCAACGCCGCGUGGAGGAAGAAGGUUUUCGGAUCGUAAACUCCUGUCCUUGGAGACGAGUAGAAGACGGUAUCCAAGGAGGAAGCCCCGGCUAACUACGUGCCAGCAGCCGCGGUAAUACGUAGGGGGCAAGCGUUGUCCGGAAUAAUUGGGCGUAAAGGGCGCGUAGGCGGCUCGGUAAGUCUGGAGUGAAAGUCCUGCUUUUAAGGUGGGAAUUGCUUUGGAUACUGUCGGGCUUGAGUGCAGGAGAGGUUAGUGGAAUUCCCAGUGUAGCGGUGAAAUGCGUAGAGAUUGGGAGGAACACCAGUGGCGAAGGCGACUAACUGGACUGUAACUGACGCUGAGGCGCGAAAGUGUGGGGAGCAAACAGGAUUAGAUACCCUGGUAGUCCACACUGUAAACGAUGAAUGCUAGGUGUAGGGGGUAUCGACCCCUUCUGUGCCGCAGUCAACACAAUAAGCAUUCCGCCUGGGGAGUACGGCCGCAAGGUUGAAACUCAAAGGAAUUGACGGGGGCCCGCACAAGCAGCGGAGCAUGUGGUUUAAUUCGAAGCAACGCGAAGAACCUUACCAGGUCUUGACAUCCACUUAAACUUACAGAGAUGUAAGGUGUGCUUGCACAAAGUGAGACAGGUGGUGCAUGGUUGUCGUCAGCUCGUGUCGUGAGAUGUUGGGUUAAGUCCCGCAACGAGCGCAACCCUUAUCUUCAGUUACUAACGCGUAGAGGUGAGGACUCUGAAGAGACUGCCGGGGACAACUCGGAGGAAGGUGGGGACGACGUCAAAUCAUCAUGCCCCUUAUGACCUGGGCUACACACGUGCUACAAUGGCCACGACAGAGAGAAGCGAAAUCGCAAGGUAGAGCGGAACUCAAAAAAGUGGUCCCAGUUCG
This 900-nucleotide ribosomal RNA is filed under the name human gut metagenome. Its description in RNAcentral is "bacterial SSU rRNA". It matches the Rfam family "Bacterial small subunit ribosomal RNA", at positions 380 to 1295 of the family's 1533-position model. The record is from RNAcentral.